RNAcentral lists this ribosomal RNA (253 nucleotides) under uncultured bacterium. Its description in RNAcentral is "partial 16S ribosomal RNA". It matches the Rfam family "Bacterial small subunit ribosomal RNA", at positions 524 to 776 of the family's 1533-position model. The record is from RNAcentral.
UACGAAGGGGGCUAGCGUUGCUCGGAAUCACUGGGCGUAAAGCGCACGUAGGCGGAUUGCUAAGUCAGGGGUGAAAUCCUGGAGCUCAACUCCAGAACUGCCUUUGAUACUGGCGACCUUGAGUCCGGGAGAGGUGAGUGGAACUGCGAGUGUAGAGGUGAAAUUCGUAGAUAUUCGCAAGAACACCAGUGGCGAAGGCGGCUCACUGGCCCGGUACUGACGCUGAGGUGCGAAAGCUAGGGGAGCAAACAGG